CGUCGUGAUUUUGCUUUGAGGGAUUUGAUUUUCUUUUUAUAGUGCCCUCCUCUGCUGGUUAUAGAAUCUUCGAAAACUGAAGUUUUGUGGGUUCAGAGCUGGAUGUUGUUGCAGGGGUGGGACUGGCAGCAGUUCAUCACACUGCAGUCUGAAAUUCCUCUGCUUUUCCGUGAUCCUGCUGCAGUGAAUGGCGGCUACGCCAAACCAGCUUAGGAAUUUCUUUUCACUCUAAGAUGGCUUUUGUUUCUAUGUCUCUUCUUUUCAUUCUUUCACAUUAAACAACGGGAAAGUAGUCUGUCAUCUGUUACUCAUGGAGUGGUGCUGAAGGCAAUGUGAAUUCAGAGCCAUUUGUUUUUUCUGGAACUAAGGAAUGUGCACAACAACCAAUCCAACAAAUUUAGACUGCAGUGUGUUCGUAUUUACAAAUAGACAUGUAUACAUAAAUCAAGUCACCCAAACUAUGUACUGCAUGGACUUUAAAAUGUUCUUUGUGUAGCUAACUCUUAUUUGAAUUACUUCGACAAAAUGCCAAAAGCUCAUUAAUAUAUGCUCUCUUCAUUUACUUAAUCAUCACUCUGUACACUUUUGUAGGUGCUUGAGACACGACAGCAAAAGUGCUCCUCAAAGUCUCUACUUCAAGAACCUCACAUUCAAGCCAGAGAGACUGACAGUAACAAACAAAUAUGUGAAGUAUGGGGCUUCUCAGAUGGGCUGGGUGUGGUGGCUCACACCUAUAAUCCCAGCAAUUGAGAGGCUGAGGUAAGUAGAUCACUUGAGGCCAGGCAUUUGAGACCAGCCUGACCAACAUGACGAAAACCCAACUCUACUGAAUAUAUAAAAACUAGCAGGCAUUGUGAGGCAUAUCAGUAAUCCUAGCUACUUGAGAGGCUGAGACAUGACUGUUGAUUGAUUUUAGGAGGCAGAGUUUGCAGGGAGCCAAGAUUGCAUUACUACACUCCAGCUUGAACAAUGGAGCGAGACUGUCUCAAAAAAUUAAUGUUUUUAUUCUUGCUAAUAAUGAACCAUUUGUGUCUCCUUUUUAAAUAAAAUGGGAGUUGUCGUUUUUCACAUUAAAUAAAUUGUGUUACCUCUUAUUUUAAAAAAUAAUUUGUAGGAGUACUCUACAUAUUCUAAUUAUGAGUCCUUUGUUUGGUAUCUGUAUGGCAAAUAUCUUCUUUCACAAUAUACUUCAUCUACUUACACUCUUUGUGGUACCUUUGAUGCAUAAAGUUUUUAAAUAAAAAGAAAUUUAUCAAUAUGGGUCUUAUUAUCUUUUGUACCCUGUUUCAGAAAACUUUGCUUACCUCAGUGUUACGAAGACAAUGUCUUGUGUGUUCAUGUGGAAUAUUUU
This 1351-nucleotide long non-coding RNA is filed under the name Callithrix jacchus (white-tufted-ear marmoset). RNAcentral's name for it is "lncRNA (ENSCJAG00000060135.2)". The record is from RNAcentral. Lineage: Eukaryota; Metazoa; Chordata; Mammalia; Primates; Cebidae.